This is a long non-coding RNA of Synchiropus splendidus (mandarinfish), 1134 nucleotides long. RefSeq lists it as uncharacterized. The transcript has 3 exons. Lineage: Eukaryota; Metazoa; Chordata; Actinopteri; Syngnathiformes; Callionymidae. The record is from RefSeq and is a predicted model, not a curated record.
UUGUGUCAGGCGGCUUCCAGCGGUCGUUCCUGGUCAGCACCUCUGGAGACGGACUUGUCCACCCUCGCGGAAAUGAAGGACCCAUUCCGCAGAGGUGAACUCAGAGUGUUGUGGUGUUCCUUGUCUUUACUGUUUGAAUGCUGCCAUAACAACCAAAAUCUCCCCUUGUGAGAGUAAUAAAGAAGUUCGACCGAACUAAGCCCAGCAGUUCGUGACCCAGGCCGCGCAAGAGUUGGCCCCUCGGCGGAGCCUCAUCUCGAUGUCAUCGCUUCACGUACCUUUGUCAUUCUGCCACGACGAGUACCAGGACAAGCUGAGGAGCGUGGUGAAGAUGAAAAUCCCGGUGACCACAGUUCCAUUUCUGAGCCUCAUCUCAUUUCAGCGCUGCCUCCGUCUCGGCGCACUCGAUAUCGGGGAUCCCCUCCCUCCCGUCCCGGUCCGUCCGUCUCACCCCGUCUUCAGGAGACGGACCUCGGUCAUGUGUCUGGAAGGCAGGAAGAUGUUCUGCGGCCGGACAGAUGCGCGUCCUCCCUCGGAUGAGCCCCACGGUGGAGUGCUAGAAGCCGUGGCUCCUCCUGCAAAACUCCUGCGGCGAUCAGUCACGAGUCGGCCGGGUUUCAGUGACGCGACAUGAGCGACUAAGAAAGACGCCAGCUACGUGCCGAUACGAGCCAUUUUGAGGUCAAAACACCGGCCGUGCGAGGGCGAGAAGAGUGACGCUGUUUCUGUGGAAGUGAAGGCUGCUCGCCCGGGAAGGUGGUCCGACUAGCUACGCCUCAAAUCACAUCGAUUCCGCCUCACAGGUUCGCACAUCCACUCAAGGCGUUGACACACAGGACGCCGCCUCGGUGAUUAAAUCUUAACUCAUAUCUAUGCAAAUAUUACAAACUACCACCGGAGAGGCUUUGUUUGUUUGUUUUUUUACCGCCAGCAAGAUGGCUGGAAAUUCUAGUAAAAACGAACGGCAUAUAAAUUUGAAUAACAUAUCUCAAUAAUCGUAAUAAUAUAAAACCAUUUUAAAAUUGUUUUUACAAAAACAAUUUUCACGUUCGUACUACAGUGCGGCCACCUGUCACGCACAGCUUCCGGUGUCACCUUUCAAAAUAAAACUUGUCUUCCGGGGCCGAAAAAAUA